GAAUGUAUAGCUCAGUGGUAAAGCUUGUGCUUAGCAUGCACAAAGUCCUGGGUUUAAUCCCUAGUACCUCCG
Molecule: transfer RNA, 72 nt
Filed under: Camelus bactrianus (Bactrian camel)
Lineage: Eukaryota; Metazoa; Chordata; Mammalia; Artiodactyla; Camelidae
Also listed under: 1 other name
Rfam family: tRNA
About the family: Transfer RNA (tRNA) molecules are approximately 80 nucleotides in length. Their secondary structure includes four short double-helical elements and three loops (D, anti-codon, and T loops). Further hydrogen bonds mediate the characteristic L-shaped molecular structure. tRNAs have two regions of fundamental functional importance: the anti-codon, which is responsible for specific mRNA codon recognition, and the 3' end, to which the tRNAs corresponding amino acid is attached (by aminoacyl-tRNA synthetases). tRNAs cope with the degeneracy of the genetic code in two manners: having more than one tRNA (with a specific anti-codon) for a particular amino acid; and 'wobble' base-pairing, i.e. permitting non-standard base-pairing at the 3rd anti-codon position.
Source: Rfam by way of RNAcentral